CUACUAGGCUUUGAAUUUCAUGGUUAAUGUUUUGUUUUUAAGUGCAUACAAGUAUGAUUCCGCCUUUUAAUUGUUAAUUGCAUGCUAUAUAUGUUGCUUAAAUGAACAUGUUUUUCACAAAAUUUCCUUCAUCUUGCUUGUAUCUCUAUUAUGCAAUUCAUGUAGGGAACUUGUGGGGAAUGCUUUGGGUUGUCGUAUGCAAUCAUCCAAUUCAAUAGCUUUAGGAAAAUCUGAGGGUUAAUUAGCGCAAUUCACGGUUAAUCUGGGGCAUUGAGAAUUCAUAAUUUAUUGAAGAGCAAUUGGAAAUCGUUUUGUAUGCAAGUGUGACAUGUGUGAAGAAGAGCCUCCUAGCUAGCCCAUCAUCCAUCUAAUUCACCAAAUUUCGUUAAAAUCUAUUUAAGUUUUUCUUGUUUUAUUUUACUUAAUUUUCGUUCAAAACCAAAUCCUCUUUUUCUUUAGAGUGUCUAACUAGUUAGAAUAUGUUUUAGAGUGUGUUUUUAAGUGUUUUGAGUCAAGAAACCCCAAAAAUUCGUCCAAAUGAGUGUUAGAGUUUAAAUCUGCCCAGUUUGUGUUUGUAGGCAGAUUUGAGUGUUUUUGUGCUGUUUUGAGUCUUUUGAGUUGUUUUAGUGUUUUGUAGUUUAGUUUUGCAUUCUUUGAGUCUAGUUUAGUGUUUUAACCUUUGUUCUAUGUUUUUGAGUUAGUUUUAAGUGUUUUACCAAUCCCUCCUAAUCCCCGGCUUAGAACGAUCCCUACUUACAUACUUUGUUGCAAUUGAUAAAAAAAGGGUUUAAUUUGUGUGCUUAUAUCUUUUGCAUCAGCUGCUUGAUGGUAGCGAAGUGGAGAGGGAGAGAAACAGAUAGGCAUUGCCCAAUUAGGAAAAGAGGAGAGUGAAAGUGACAAAUGGGAGAGAAGAACCAGGAGGGAAGGGAGGAAGGUGGUGGAGCACCCAACCCAGUCGACCCAUGCACCCAAAGCAAAACUGG
This 983-nucleotide long non-coding RNA is filed under the name Malus domestica (apple). Its description in RNAcentral is "long non-coding RNA (MDOM_LNC001751)". The record is from RNAcentral. Lineage: Eukaryota; Viridiplantae; Streptophyta; Magnoliopsida; Rosales; Rosaceae.